GAGCAUUGUUAUAUGCUUGUUACCUCCAUAGGAAUGCAGAUAUAGGGGAGAUAGCUGCUCAAACUCUUUUUGAGCUGGAGCCAGAUAAUGUACACAAUUUUGAGCUUUUGAUGAAGAUUUAUGGUGAUGCAGGCAGGUUGGAGGAUGUAGAGAGAGUGAGAACAAUGAUGAUUGAUAGGGGAUUGUGAUUGGAAAUGUGCACUGGUACGAUCUAUAAACAGAGGAGAAAUCACGCUUGUGUUAGCCAUGCUCCCGCAGCUGUUAGCCGAGUCGCAUCUUCCUCAGGUUAGGUGUAGUCGACUCGCCAUAACCCACAUUAUGCUAUAGGCUUCUUUUUCUUUCUUCUUUAGUUCCUUUUUCCCCCCGAAAAAUAAAAAUAUUCAAAACUAAUAUGAUUUGUGAAUGGUAUCGAGGACC
RNAcentral lists this unclassified non-coding RNA (417 nucleotides) under Hevea brasiliensis (rubber tree). The record is from RNAcentral. Lineage: Eukaryota; Viridiplantae; Streptophyta; Magnoliopsida; Malpighiales; Euphorbiaceae.